This 247-nucleotide ribosomal RNA is filed under the name uncultured anaerobic ammonium-oxidizing bacterium. Its description in RNAcentral is "partial 16S ribosomal RNA". It matches the Rfam family "Bacterial small subunit ribosomal RNA", at positions 434 to 674 of the family's 1533-position model. The record is from RNAcentral.
GUCGGGAGUUAGGAAUGCAAGGAUGUUAAUAGCGUUCUUGCUUGACUAAGGCUCCGGAGGAAGCCACGGCUAACUCUGUGCCAGCAGCCGCGGUAAUACAGAGGCGGCAAGCGUUGUUCGGAAUUAUUGGGCGUAAAGAGCACGUAGGCGGCUGUGUAAGUCGGUUGUGAAAGCCUUCCGCUCAACGGAAGAACGGCAUCCGAUACUGCAUGGCUUGAGUGUGGGAGGGGAGAGUGGAACUUCUGGU